RNAcentral lists this transfer RNA (69 nucleotides) under Antarctonemertes valida. RNAcentral's name for it is "tRNA-Gln". The record is from RNAcentral. Lineage: Eukaryota; Metazoa; Nemertea; Enopla; Monostilifera; Oerstediidae.
UAUAAGGUGGUGUAGGGUGCACAUGAGAUUUUGAUUCUUUUGGGGAUAAUUUAAUUUUAUUUCUUAUAG